GGUGGGGGGGGGGGCGAAAGAAAGACUGUGCCGCUGGUCAAUGUGUAGGCUACCCGGUCACGUGGCUUACUUACAAUUGACCAACCAGAGACAGGUCUACAUGAUAGGCUACAGCCUAUUGCAUCAUUAAGAAAAAUAGCGCCAGAACCAAACACCAUGACCAUCCCAUUCCAGUCAUAGUACUCAUAGAUCUACUUCAAGAUUGUGUUGAUUUGUGAUUAACUCGACUCUAUUCUAACAACUUUGGAAUGUGUGCGUCAAGCAAAGACUCUCGGAACCAAAGAGUGAAAGAAUGAUGGCAUCACUAUGAUCACUUCUUGCUGGAUCUGUCCAAGAGUCAAUGAGUACAGGUGGACCAUGUUGGAAAAUAACUUUCAGUCAAGACUCAAGUUGAGACAAGAGCUCCAUUGAUCAUGAUGUUAUUGAUCAAACUGAACAUGUUCUAGAGAUACUGGAGAAAAGAUUUGAGUGCAGUACAGACUCAUUUUCAAUUGAAAGCAAUUAAAAGAAGCAGAGAUAAAUACAAUCAGGAUUAGAUCUAUCCAGUGAAAACAGCAUUAAGAGAACAAUAGUAUGGAUUAUAACUUGGCUGGACUGGACAUGGCACAAACAGAAAAUAAAUGUAUUGAAUUUUCAAUCCAAAUUAUGGAUAUUAGAUUAUUCAAGUGAGUUACCCAAGUCUGUCAAAUAACUUAGAGAAAGUACUUGAACUUGGCACAUGUGAUGGCACAGAAAUCGUAAAAAAAGAAAGAUGAUGGCUUCAACUCUGAAGGAACAUCCCAAUCAUGUAUAACAUUUUACAAACAAACCUAAUCAAAGUUUAUAAAUGUUUAAAAAAAGUAAGAUGCACAAGCAAAUUUAUUUACAUACUACAGAUAUUAGAACUAAUGACUAAUGGAAAAAAAACAACUACCUAUCUAGACUUAACAACAAAGAAAUAAGUAAAUAUAAUAUUUCAAACAUGUGCUGGAUCUUGUUAACCAUUAGCCAAAGAAACUGAUGGCCUUAACAUCAUCUGCCCUAUAGAUGCUAAGUUUGAAAAGGGGAACUUUACUUUUAUUACAACAUAAGGUUAUAAGUUGACAGUUACAGAUGAUGUACCAUAUGAGCAUCAUUGUUGUUUACUGGCUUUUGAACAGUAGCUUGAAACAUUUGCUCUUUCUUACAUAGAAUAUUCACUGUUAAAAAAUUAUGAAUAUGAUAGUGCAGCUAGUUACUCUGCUCAAAAUUGAAAAAAAUAUUUUGUUGAAAUUAUAAACAUGAGCUACCGGUAUAUAUAAAUGUAUAGUUUUCAUUGUUGAGCACACACUUUUUCUUUGGUACUGGGUAACGUACAUGACCUAUAUUUUUUUGAAAUAUUAUCAUCUAAAAUUAGGCGAGGUCUUGAGAAUAUUUACCUCGAACAGACUCAGCUUUGGGUUUUUGUGCAUGUAGACCCUAUUGAUUAAAAAGCACCAUUCUCUAAUUAUAUUUUACUUGUUUAAAUUUAUAUAUUUAUGGUUAUUAAUUAUUCUUUGUAUUUAUUUUUUUAAUUUUUUUUUGUAAAGUAAGCACUGGUAUUUUUCUAAAAGUAUGUUUCACAUUUAUUUCAUUUUAAACAAAUUAAGUCAUUUACUUAAUGUUCAAUUAUGUUCUAAAUGUAUGUUUUUAAAAUUUCAGUGUUUAUAUUGCUAACAUUUCACAAACUUGUUACAGGUAGCUUAUUUUUGUUUUGGUCAUUUUUUCUUUAGAACUACCGGUACAACAUAAUCUAAAAAAAAAUUUGUUUCAUGAUUGUCAAAACAGUUUGCUUUUCAAUUUACAUACAGCAGGCUCAUACUUUGUUUAGAUAAUUCUGAAUUACAUUCUAUAUAUAAUUUAUAGGUUUCUGUAUAGGCUAUUCAAGCUUUUGUACAUGUUAAAAUUUCAUAAAUUUGGUAGCCAUUAUAUUUUUUAAAAAUUUUAUGGUAUAAUACAGUGAUGCCCAGCCCAACUCGACCUGCGGGCCAUUUUUAUUUCCGACAGUCGUGUCGCGGGCCACAUGAACAAAAAGGCCUACAAAAACGAUAUUGACCUUAAUUAAUGGGAUAUUUGAAAUGUAUCCUUUUUCCCCGCGUCUGAAGAUGGCUUCAUUUCUCUACUUAAAAUAUCAGCAACAUUGUAGCUAGCUUUACAUCCGAGUCGUUUUCCUGUCUCUUUUUGGUAAAUAUUCCCAUCAAUCCUCCAAUUUCUAGGCGUAGUUUAACAAUCUUUUAUUCGCGGCUCAAACCAAGAAUGCCGUCAUAUUUGUUUCAUAAUGUCGUUUAUAUGUUUUUGUUGUUUAUUAAAUAACCACACUUUCUUUAUAAAACAAAAUAUGUUGGCUUAUUAUCAUGUUCCACAAAAAAGUAAAGAAUCGUUCACUUUUCCUGGUAGAAAAUGUACAUUCUACACUCAGAAACCUAAUUCAUAAACGCACAAAUGUUAAAUGUCAUGGAAAACAUCAGGAGAAAAAUUGAGGGCCCUAAGCCCCUAACGUAAGUAAAGAUACAUUUUUACAAUUCAAUUUUUAUUUUGGAAAAUGGGGGAUUUUCGACGGGCCGGAUGGACUCACGUUGCGGGCCGGAUCUGGCCCGCGGGCCGUACUUUGGGCAUCACUGGUAUAAUAAAUACUUAUUGUAUUUUUAAAAAUAUAAGCAUCCAUAUUUUAAAAACUUAUUUCUAAUUUGCCAUUUUAAGCAAUUUGUUAUUACAAUUAAUAUUUAAAUGAAUAUGCUUUUACUUAUUUCAGUGUACAUAUUGCUUACAUUCCACCAACUCAAUACUUUUUUUGUUACUUUUAUUUUUUAAUAUUUUUUUUACAUAAUAACAAAAGCUAAGUUGUUUUUUGUUGUUGUUGUUUUUAUGAUUGUCAAAACUGUUUGCUUUAAACAUAAUUUUUAUACAGCACUUAUACUUUCUGUAGAUGAUCCUGAAUUAUGUUCUUUAUAAAUUUGUUAUAGAUUUUCAUGUUAUCAUUCACAACUUUUUUGUUGACUCAAUGCAUUUUCCAUAGUAUACUAAAAUAUUAUAGGAUCAAUUUUCACAGUUAAAAUCUUUGCUACAGGUAUUGCUUUUACUUUAAAAAAAAGUUUUUUAGUGUAUUCCGGUAUUUUUAAUUAUUUUUAAUAGUUGCUAACAUUAACAUUUUAUAAUGCAAUAAACUAUUAAUUUCAACUAGUAAAUUGUUUAUGUAAUUAUUUAUGUCAUUUUAUGCCAUUUCAGCUAGAGCUCAGUGUCAUUUCUUACUGGCCUCAUCUGGGCCCCUAACUGAACCCAGACUCAGCCCUAAGG
Biomphalaria glabrata is the source of this 3291-nucleotide long non-coding RNA. RefSeq lists it as uncharacterized. The transcript has 6 exons. NCBI's taxonomy places the organism in Eukaryota, Metazoa, Mollusca, Gastropoda, Planorbidae. The record is from RefSeq and is a predicted model, not a curated record.